CAGGCUUAACACAUGCAAGUCGAGGGGCAGCAUGGUCUUUUCUUGCUAAGGCCGAUGGCGACCGGCGCACGGGUGAGUAACACGUAUCCAACCUGCCGUCUACUCUUGGACAGCCUUCUGAAAGGAAGAUUAAUACAAGAUGGCAUCAUGAGUCCGCAUGUUCACAUGAUUAAAGGUAUUCCGGUAGACGAUGGGGAUGCGUUCCAUUAGAUAGUAGGCGGGGUAACGGCCCACCUAGUCUUCGAUGGAUAGGGGUUCUGAGAGGAAGGUCCCCCACAUUGGAACUGAGACACGGUCCAAACUCCUACGGGAGGCAGCAGUGAGGAAUAUUGGUCAAUGGGCGAGAGCCUGAACCAGCCAAGUAGCGUGAAGGAUGACUGCCCUAUGGGUUGUAAACUUCUUUUAUAAAGGAAUAAAGUCGGGUAUGGAUACCCGUUUGCAUGUACUUUAUGAAUAAGGAUCGGCUAACUCCGUGCCAGCAGCCGCGGUAAUACGGAGGAUCCGAGCGUUAUCCGGAUUUAUUGGGUUUAAAGGGAGCGUAGAUGGAUGUUUAAGUCAGUUGUGAAAGUUUGCGGCUCAACCGUAAAAUUGCAGUUGAUACUGGAUAUCUUGAGUGCAGUUGAGGCAGGCGGAAUUCGUGGUGUAGCGGUGAAAUGCUUAGAUAUCACGAAGAACUCCGAUUGCGAAGGCAGCCUGCUAAGCUGCAACUGACAUUGAGGCUCGAAAGUGUGGGUAUCAAACAGGAUUAGAUACCCUGGUAGUCCACACGGUAAACGAUGAAUACUCGCUGUUUGCGAUAUACUGCAAGCGGCCAAGCGAAAGCGUUAAGUAUUCCACCUGGGGAGUACGCCGGCAACGGUGAAACUCAAAGGAAUUGACGGGGGCCCGCACAAGCGGAGGAACAUGUGGUUUAAUUCGAUGAUACGCGAGGAACCUUACCCGGGCUUAAAUUGCAGAUGAAUUACGGUGAAAGCCGUAAGCCGCAAGGCAUCUGUGAAGGUGCUGCAUGGUUGUCGUCAGCUCGUGCCGUGAGGUGUCGGCUUAAGUGCCAUAACGAGCGCAACCCUUGUUGUCAGUUACUAACAGGUUCCGCUGAGGACUCUGACAAGACUGCCAUCGUAAGAUGUGAGGAAGGUGGGGAUGACGUCAAAUCAGCACGGCCCUUACGUCCGGGGCUACACACGUGUUACAAUGGGGGGUACAGAGGGCCGCUACCACGCGAGUGGAUGCCAAUCCCCAAAACCUCUCUCAGUUCGGACUGGAGUCUGCAACCCGACUCCACGAAGCUGGAUUCGCUAGUAAUCGCGCAUCAGCCACGGCGCGGUGAAUACGUUCCCGGGCCUUGUACACACCGCCCGUCAAGCCAUGGGAGCCGGGGGUACCUGAAGUGCGUAACCGCGAGGAGCGCCCUAGGGUAAAACUGGUGACUGGGGC
RNAcentral lists this ribosomal RNA (1434 nucleotides) under uncultured organism. RNAcentral's name for it is "16S ribosomal RNA". It matches the Rfam family "Bacterial small subunit ribosomal RNA". The record is from RNAcentral.